GAUGAACGCUGGCGGCGUGCCUAAUACAUGCAAGUCGAGCGAACAGAUAAGGAGCUUGCUCCUUUGACGUUAGCGGCGGACGGGUGAGUAACACGUGGGUAACCUACCUAUAAGACUGGGAUAACUUCGGGAAACCGGAGCUAAUACCGGAUAACAUUUGGAACCGCAUGGUUCUAAAGUGAAAGAUGGUUUUGCUAUCACUUAUAGAUGGACCCGCGCCGUAUUAGCUAGUUGGUAAGGUAACGGCUUACCAAGGCGACGAUACGUAGCCGACCUGAGAGGGUGAUUGGCCACACUGGAACUGAGACACGGUCCAGACUCCUACGGGAGGCAGCAGUAGGGAAUCUUCCGCAAUGGGCGAAAGCCUGACGGAGCAACGCCGCGUGAGUGAUGAAGGGUUUCGGCUCGUAAAACUCUGUUAUUAGGGAAGAACAAAUGUGUAAGUAACUGUGCACGUCUUGACGGUACCUAAUCAGAAAGCCACGGCUAACUACGUG
This 497-nucleotide ribosomal RNA is filed under the name uncultured bacterium. RNAcentral describes it as "partial 16S ribosomal RNA". It matches the Rfam family "Bacterial small subunit ribosomal RNA", at positions 28 to 507 of the family's 1533-position model. The record is from RNAcentral.